This 460-nucleotide ribosomal RNA is filed under the name uncultured bacterium. Its description in RNAcentral is "partial 16S ribosomal RNA". It matches the Rfam family "Bacterial small subunit ribosomal RNA", at positions 338 to 795 of the family's 1533-position model. The record is from RNAcentral.
CCUACGAGUGGCUGCAGUGAGGAAUAUUGGUCAAUGGACGGAAGUCUGAACCAGCCAUGCCGCGUGCAGGAAGACGGCUCUAUGAGUUGUAAACUGCUUUUGUACAAGGGUAAACCUGAAUACGUGUAUUCAGCUGAAAGUACUGUACGAAUAAGGAUCGGCUAACUCCGUGCCAGCAGCCGCGGUAAUACGGAGGAUCCAAGCGUUAUCCGGAUUUAUUGGGGUUAAAGGGUGCGUAGGCGGAUUGAUAAGUUAGAGGUGAAAUGUCCGAGCUUAACUCGGGAACUGCCUCUAAUACUGUUGAUCUAGAGAGUAGAUGCGGUAGGCGGAAUGUAUGGUGUAGCUGUGAAAUGCUUAGAGAUCAUACAGAACACCGAUUGCGAAGGCAGCUUACCAAUCUAUAUCUGACGUUGAGGCACGAAAGCGUGGGGAGCAAACAGGAUUAGAUACCCCAGUAGUC